Molecule: ribosomal RNA, 468 nt
Filed under: uncultured bacterium
Lineage: Bacteria
Description: partial 16S ribosomal RNA
Rfam family: Bacterial small subunit ribosomal RNA
Source: RNAcentral
GACGAACGCUGGCGGCGUGCUUAACACAUGCAAGUCGAACGGCAAGGCCCUGCUUUUGUGGGGUGCUCGAGUGGCGAACGGGUGAGUAACACGUGAGUAACCUGCCCUUUACUUUGGUAUAACUUCAGGAAACUGGGGCUAAUACCGGAUAGGAGCUCCUGCUGCAUGGUGGGGGUUGGAAAGUUUCGGCGGUUGGGGAUGGACUCGCGGCUUAUCAGCUUGUUGGUGGGGUAGUGGCUUACCAAGGCUUUGACGGGUAGCCGGCCUGAGAGGGUGACCGGCCACAUGGGGACUGAGAGACGGCCCAGACUCCUACGGGAGGCAGCAGUGGGGAAUAUUGCACAAUGGGCGGAAGCCUGAUGCAGCAACGCCGCGUGCGGGAUGACGGCCUUCGGGUUGUAAACCGCUUUCGCCUGUGACGAAGCGUGAGUGACGGUAAUGGGUAAAGAAGCACCGGCUAACUACGUG